RNAcentral lists this ribosomal RNA (876 nucleotides) under Triticum aestivum (bread wheat). RNAcentral describes it as "partial small subunit ribosomal RNA". Lineage: Eukaryota; Viridiplantae; Streptophyta; Magnoliopsida; Poales; Poaceae. The record is from RNAcentral.
AUGUCUGGCAGCGGCAAAACUGGAAAUUCAGGUGUCGCCCACAAGGUGUUCGACACAUGGUCUGAACCUGGACAUCAAUCUGGAAGUGAAGGUAACCAUGCACAAAACAUGUUUGAUACAGUUCCAAAUCCCCAAGGCAGAGUCCUUCAUGUGGUAGUACAUCAAUAUCAACAAUUCGUGUCUCCAGAGUUGAUUAGUCAAGUAUUUUCUGCAUAUGGGAAAGUAGAAGAAAUGUUUCACAGCCCACAUCAGGACUCACCCACACACACAUCAUCUAUAUUCAUCGAGUAUGCACAGGCUAGAAUGGCGAAUGAUGCUUUGCAUGGUUUACAUGGAUUGUACCUGUACCAAGAUGAUUGUCGGUUGGAGAUUAGGCAUGCUAAUAGCUCCGAGUUGCAAGCUUUUUAUGGAUAUUCUGCUCCUAGUUUUUCUGAAUAUCAAUUUGAGCUUCUGCAACAGCUACAGAAUGACCUACAAGCAUUAAGCAGAGAUGUGACUUGCAACCUUUUAGAUGUGCGUAUGGGUACCAAGCUUGAACCCAUACCACCCUCACAAAACAAUGUCAGCGCAGGUAUAUCCCCAAUUUCUACAUGCGAGUCAUUCUGCACUGGAAAUAAGCAAGUUGAGAGAAAAUGCAAAAACCAGGAGAAACAAUUAAAGCAUGCACCAGUACAGCAACAACUGGACUUGGAAAGCCUUCUUCUUCAUGCUAUCUCAAUUCUUGCCGAAGAUGCAAAUGAGGAAGCAAAUAUUGACACUUUUGACCAAGUCCUCCAACAAUGGCCUAUGAAACAGCAGCACCCUCAAGAUAGCAACAACACCACUGCUGAUACACUCGCUAAGGAUAUUUUUCUAACUCAUGAUGAUAAGGGAUAA